RNAcentral lists this ribosomal RNA (443 nucleotides) under uncultured bacterium. RNAcentral's name for it is "partial 16S ribosomal RNA". It matches the Rfam family "Bacterial small subunit ribosomal RNA", at positions 338 to 795 of the family's 1533-position model. The record is from RNAcentral.
CCUACGGGUGGCAGCAGUGGGGGAUAUUGGACAAUGGGGGGAACCCUGAUCCAGCGACGUCGCGUGAGUGAAGACGUAUCUCGGUAUGUAAAGCUCUGUUAGCAGGGAAGAAAGAAAUGACGGUACCUGACCAAGAAGCCUCGGCUAACUACGGGCCAGCAGCCGCUGUAAUACGUCGGGGGCAGGCGUUAUCCGGAAUUACUGGGUGUACAGGGUGCGUAGACGGUUAAGUAAGUCUGGAGGGAAAGGCCGGGGCCCAACCCCGGGACUGCUCUGGAAACUAUUGAACUUGAGUGCAGGAGAGGUAAGCGGAAUUCGUGGUGUAGCGGUGAAAUGCGUAGAUAUUAGGAGGAACACCAGUGGCGAAGGCGGCUUACUGGAGUGUAACUGACGUUGAGGCUCGAAAGCGUGGGGAGCGAACAGGAUUAGAUACCCGAGUAGUC